CUUUGGGUAGCUCAGUUGGUAGAGCGCUCCACUGGAAAUAGAGACGUCCCUGGUGCGAUACCGGGACCAAGUG
Molecule: transfer RNA, 73 nt
Filed under: Ixodes scapularis (black-legged tick)
Lineage: Eukaryota; Metazoa; Arthropoda; Arachnida; Ixodida; Ixodidae
Rfam family: tRNA
About the family: Transfer RNA (tRNA) molecules are approximately 80 nucleotides in length. Their secondary structure includes four short double-helical elements and three loops (D, anti-codon, and T loops).
Source: Rfam by way of RNAcentral